GUGGGGAAUAUUGCACAAUGGAGGAAACUCUGAUGCAGCAACGCCGCGUGAAGGAUGAAGGUUUUCGGAUUGUAAACUUCUUUGAUUGGGGACGAAUAAAUGACGGUACCCAAGGAACAAGCCACGGCUAACUACGUGCCAGCAGCCGCGGUAAUACGUAGGUGGCGAGCGUUGUCCGGAAUUACUGGGUGUAAAGGGCGUGUAGGCGGGACUGUAAGUCAGAUGUGAAAUUCCAGGGCUUAACUCUGGAGCUGCAUCUGAAACUAUAGUUCUUGAGUGCUGGAGAGGAAAGCGGAAUUCCUAGUGUAGCGGUGAAAUGCGUAGAUAUUAGGAGGAACACCAGUGGCGAAGGCGGCUUUCUGGACAGUAACUGACGCUGAGGCGCGAAAGCGUGGGGAGCAAACAGGAUUAGAAACCCUAGUAGUCC
This 427-nucleotide ribosomal RNA is filed under the name uncultured bacterium. Its description in RNAcentral is "bacterial SSU rRNA". It matches the Rfam family "Bacterial small subunit ribosomal RNA", at positions 354 to 796 of the family's 1533-position model. The record is from RNAcentral.